This 266-nucleotide ribosomal RNA is filed under the name uncultured bacterium. RNAcentral describes it as "partial 16S ribosomal RNA". It matches the Rfam family "Bacterial small subunit ribosomal RNA", at positions 524 to 789 of the family's 1533-position model. The record is from RNAcentral.
UACGAAGGGUGCAAGCGUUACUCGGAAUUACUGGGCGUAAAGCGUGCGUAGGCGGUUUGUUAAGUCUGUCGUGAAGGCCCCGGGCUCAACCUGGGAAUGGCGAUGGAAACUGGCGAGCUAGAGUACGGUAGAGGAGAGUGGAAUUCCCGGUGUAGCAGUGAAAUGCGUAGAUAUAGGAAGGAACACCAGUGGCGAAGGCGACUACCUGGACUGAUACUGACACUGAGGUGCGAAAGCGUGGGGAGCAAACAGGAUUAGAAACCCCC